CAUAAAUCUAUGUAUAAUCAUAUAAUAAUGCUUUAGGUGUGUUUGAUUUCAAGUCUAGCUGCAUAAAUAUGCGUGUCUGAUUUCAAUUGUUGCCCGAUGGAUUCACUUUACUGGAAAUUAGGCUCAUGUUUCUCAAGAGGAUAUCAAUGCAUUGUGUUAGGAUGAAUCAACACAUGCCAAUGUUAUAUGUACAAUUGUACACAUAUAAGUCAAAUAUUGGUGCCAAAAACAUGCAAUUGUUAUGCAUGAUGCACACACGUGACUAAAAUCUCUAGAAGAGAACCCAUGGUUCGCGUUACAG
Lactuca sativa (garden lettuce) is the source of this 301-nucleotide non-coding RNA. The record is from RefSeq and is a predicted model, not a curated record. NCBI's taxonomy places the organism in Eukaryota, Viridiplantae, Streptophyta, Magnoliopsida, Asterales, Asteraceae.